AACGAACGCUGGCGGCAUGCCUAACACAUGCAAGUCGAACGAGACCUUCGGGUCUAGUGGCGCACGGGUGCGUAACGCGUGGGAACCUGCCCUUAGGUUCGGAAUAACUCCCCGAAAGGGGUGCUAAUACCGGAUAAUGUCUUCGGACCAAAGAUUUAUCGCCUUUGGAUGGGCCCGCGUUGCAUUAGCUAGUUGGUAGGGUAAAAGCCUACCAAGGCGACGAUCCAUAGCUGGUCUGAGAGGAUGAUCAGCCACACUGGGACUGAGACACGGCCCAGAAUCCUACGGGAGGCGGGCGAGGGGAAUAUUGGAAAACGGGGGAAGGCAUGAUCCAGCAAUGCCGGGUGAGUGAUGAAGGCCUUGGGGUUGUAAACCUCUUUAACCCGGGAGGAUAAUGACAGUACCGGAAGAAUAAGCACCGGCUAACUCCGUG
RNAcentral lists this ribosomal RNA (433 nucleotides) under uncultured bacterium. Its description in RNAcentral is "partial 16S ribosomal RNA". It matches the Rfam family "Bacterial small subunit ribosomal RNA", at positions 29 to 507 of the family's 1533-position model. The record is from RNAcentral.